UUUCUUUUGCAUUUUUUCUUUUACGCCUCUUUUGUUUAGAACUAUUUCCUCUUCUGUGAUACCAUAAAUGAUAAUGAAAUGCCAUUUAACUUCUAAAAAGUAAUUAUUUUACAAUAAGUUAAACGAAUUUAAACAGUAACUACGAAAAAGUUCUCAUCCUCUAUGACUUGUAAUUUUUAAGUGACAGGGUGGUGGUAUUGCUCUUCUCAAUUUCUUAUCUUCCAUAAUUAUUGUUGAAAUUUGUUCACCACUUUAAAUUUCGACAUCGCUUACAAAAAGUCCUGCAUACGCCCCUAGUUAUAUCAUAUUACUGAUAUAAACAUGUAGCUACUGCUAGAUAAUCGAUCUUUCCUAUCCGAGAGUUAAUCUCAUAAUUCAGAGGAGUCCUAUAAUAAGAAUGAAGUAUAUAAAGCCAUUCAAUAUUUAAGACAUUUAGAAUGAGGAUGCAUGAAAAUAUAUCUAUAACAGUUCAAGUGCAAGAAAAUGUCAUUCAACGUAAAGCAAUCUACAUGAGAUUAUCAUCUCUUUUUUAUAAAUAGACUACAUUACCAUAAUCUAAACAAAAACUCCAAUUUUUUACAAUAAAAUGAAUAAAAGUGAAUCAAGAGAAUAAAUAUCUUAACAUUAAAAGAUUACCUAUGGUUUGUUGAGAUUAUUUAUGACUAAAUUCCAUAUGCUUUCUGAAGCAAACAUUCUUUGUUGGAAAAUUACAAGUUGUUCCAACAUGAGUUUCUAAUAAAGAAUUUUAACUCACCCGUUCAGCUGUCUCUAUUCCCAUCAAGUUACAACAGUGUCUUGGUUGUCUCGCUAGAAAUAAGUUAAACAUACAUUAGAAACGUUUUUAACUCAAAUAAUCCUGUCUCAAAUGUAAUUAGCAAGAUGAACCGGUGACUAUGCCACAAAAUAAAGAAAAAAGGACAGCAAAGAAUAUAAGAAAAUACAAUGUAACAAUUUUACUGUGAGAAGCAUGUAAAUCGGGUUAAAAGCAAUAAUAUUAGCACCAAUAUUCAUUUGUUUACUUUUCUAUAGUUCCACAUAUGCAAAACAAAAAGACAAGUGUUAUUCUUGAGUAAAAAAUUCAAGUUCAACGGAAAGAACUACCAACCAAAUGGAGCACAAUGAAUUGACCUAUUUUUCUGAAAUUUUAUUAUUUUCUCUUUCUCCAACUUUUUCUUAGGUCCAAUUUUUAAAAAUGCCUUAACACUGUCGACGGUAUCAAAUUCCAGCAAUUAGAAUACACGAAACAGAAGCUUUGAGCAAGUGCAAGAUCAAAUUAAAAAAUUACUUAGAUUCAAAUUAACAAAAAUAAAUAAAUAAAUAAAAUGGACAUGACCAUAAAUAUAGAAGGUUCACAUACCAGCUAAGCUCUCGGAAUACUAAUUUAGACAUAACGCAACCAGUAAGAUACAUGCUUCAAGAUUUACGGUAAAAGCGUUCAAUAGUAGAAAGGAUAUUCUAAUUUCAACAUGCACAAGGUGACGGAGAGAUUAAUUUAUAUUUCUGUAGAUGCUCACCAGACAAGAGGGGUUGCUCUGAUGGUGAGCAACCCCCACUUCCAAUAGAGAGGUUGUGAGUUCGAGUCUUCCCAAGAGCAAGGUGAAAAGUUUUUGGAGGGAAGGAUGUCGGAGGUCUAUUUGGAAACAGUCUCUCUAUCCCAGGGUUAGGGGUGUACAAAGAAAACCGAUAAACCACACCAAUCCGAUAAUCCGAGUCAAACCGAGAAAAAAACCCGACUAUGGUUUGGUUUGAC
This 1750-nucleotide long non-coding RNA is filed under the name Nicotiana benthamiana. RNAcentral describes it as "long non-coding RNA (NBEN_LNC019814)". The record is from RNAcentral. Lineage: Eukaryota; Viridiplantae; Streptophyta; Magnoliopsida; Solanales; Solanaceae.